This 443-nucleotide ribosomal RNA is filed under the name uncultured bacterium. Its description in RNAcentral is "partial 16S ribosomal RNA". It matches the Rfam family "Bacterial small subunit ribosomal RNA", at positions 338 to 795 of the family's 1533-position model. The record is from RNAcentral.
CCUACGGGAGGCUGCAGUGGGGAAUAUUGGGCAAUGGGCGCAAGCCUGAACCAGCAAAGCCGCGUGAGGGAAGACGGCCCUCGGGUUGUAAACUUCUUUUGUCCGGGGCGAAGAGAGUGACGGUACCUGACGAAUAAGCCACAGCUGACUACGUGCCAGCAGCCGCGUUAGUACGUAGGUGGCAAGCGUUAUCCGGAUUGACUGGGUGUAACGGGGGUGUAGGCGGGACUGCAAGUCAGAUGUGAAAUUCCAGGGCUCAACCCUGGAACCGCAUUUGAAACUGUCGUUCUUGAGUGAUGGAGAGGUAGGCGGAAUGCCGGGUGUAGCGGUGAAAUGCGUAGAUAUACGGAGGAACACCAGUGGCGAAGGCGGCAUGCUGGAUAUUAACUGACGCUGAGGCGCGAAAGCGUGGGGAGCAAACAGGAUUAGAUACCCUGGUAGUC